This 489-nucleotide ribosomal RNA is filed under the name uncultured bacterium. RNAcentral's name for it is "bacterial SSU rRNA". It matches the Rfam family "Bacterial small subunit ribosomal RNA", at positions 8 to 518 of the family's 1533-position model. The record is from RNAcentral.
AGAGUUGAUCAUGGCUCAGGACGAACGCUGGCGGUGUGCCUCAUACAUGCAAGUCGAACGAGAAGUUACCUCGGGUAAUGGAAAGUGGCGGACGGGUGAGUACAACAUAGGAAAUCUGCCCUAAAGCGGGGGACAACAGAGGGAAACUCCUGCUAAUACCCCAUAUGAGCUUAGUUGAAAUACUAAUCUUGAAAGAUUUAUCACUUUAGGAUGAGCCUGUGCCUGAUUAGCUGGUUGGUGGUGUAAUGGACUACCAAGGCGACGAUCAGUAGCUGGUUUGAGAGGAUGAUCAGCCACAAUGGGACUGAGACACGGCCCAUACUCCUACGGGAGGCAGCAGUAGGGAAUUUUGCGCAAUGGGGGAAACCCUGAACCGCAGCAACACCGCGUGAAUGUUAAGCCCUUCGGGGUGUAAAGUUCUGUCAAUAGGGAAGAAUAAAUGACUGUACCUAUAAAGGAAGCACCGGCUAACUCCGUGCCAGCCGCUGC